UAUUGGUCAAUAGCCUAACGGCUGAACCAGCAACUUGGAGGAAUGAAGAGUUACUGUAAAAAGUAAUUUUCUAUAUAAUAAAUUAAUAUAGAGUUAACGUAGUUAAGUAAAAUUCCAAGUAGAAAUUGAUUAUGACAGUUUCUAUGAGUAUGUCUUGACCAAUUCAUGUGCCAGCAGUCGCGGUAACACAUGUAAGACUGGUGUUAUUCAUCUUUAAUCGGUUUAAAGGGUACCUAGACAGUUAAUUAAGCCUUAAAAGGGUACUAAUAAACUAGAGUUUAAUGUAAGAAGAAGAGUACGGUGAGUGUAGAGAUAAAAUUCUGUGAUACCACUUAGAAACUGGCAAAAGCGAAGGCACUUCUAUGUAAAACUGACGUUGAGGGACGAAGGCUGUAAAAUAAUAGGAUUAGAUACCCUAGUAUUGUGAGCAGACAAUGAUGAAUGUCAUAUGCAAGAAUUUAUUUUUUGUGUAUAAAUGAAAGUGUAAGCAUUCCACCUCAAGAGUAAUAUGGCAACAUAUAAACUGAAAUCAUUAGACCGUUUCUGAAACUCGUAGUGAAGUAUGUUGUUUAAUUUGAUGAUCCACAAAGAACCUUACCACAAUUUGAAUAUUUAUAUUUAAGAUUUAUUCUAUAUUUAUACAAGCGUUGCACGGCUGUCUUCAGUUAAUGUCGUGAGACUUUGGUUAGAUCCAUUAAAUUAACGUAUAACCCUUACUUUAUUUAAAAUAAAAUAGUUCGCCGCUAUAUUGGUAGUGAUAUAAGGGACCAAGACAAGUCAUCAUGGCCUAUAUAUUGUGGGCUAUAGAC
Molecule: ribosomal RNA, 809 nt
Filed under: Fissurina dumastii
Lineage: Eukaryota; Fungi; Ascomycota; Lecanoromycetes; Ostropales; Graphidaceae
Description: SSU rRNA
Rfam family: Bacterial small subunit ribosomal RNA
Source: RNAcentral